AUUGAACGCUGGCGGCAUGCUUUACACAUGCAAGUCGAACGGCAGCGCGGGCUUCGGCCUGGCGGCGAGUGGCGAACGGGUGAGUAAUACAUCGGAACGUGCCCAGUAGUGGGGGAUAGCUCGGCGAAAGCCGGAUUAAUACCGCAUACGACCUGAGGGUGAAAGCGGGGGAUCUUCGGACCUCGCGCUCUUGGAGCGGUCGAUGGCAGAUUAGCUAGUUGGUGGGGUAAAGGCCUACCAAGGCGACGAUCUGUAGCUGGUCUGAGAGGACGACCAGCCACACUGGGACUGAGACACGGCCCAGACUCCUACGGGAGGCAGCAGUGGGGAAUUUUGGACAAUGGGCGAAAGCCUGAUCCAGCAAUGCCGCGUGUGUGAUGAAGGCCUUCGGGUUGUAAAGCACUUUUGGCGGGAACGAAAAGGACUGUGCCAAUACCACGGUUCGAUGACGGUACCCGCAGAAUAAGCACCGGCUAACUACGUG
This 484-nucleotide ribosomal RNA is filed under the name uncultured bacterium. RNAcentral describes it as "partial 16S ribosomal RNA". It matches the Rfam family "Bacterial small subunit ribosomal RNA", at positions 29 to 507 of the family's 1533-position model. The record is from RNAcentral.